AAUAAAAAUUUUGGUAAUGAUAAAAUAAUAAAUAAAGAUUUAACCCGUGUUAUAUCAAUCCAAACCCGUCCCGCUAUAUAACUCGUUUCAUGAUAUUUUAAU
Molecule: small RNA, 102 nt
Filed under: Arabidopsis thaliana (thale cress)
Lineage: Eukaryota; Viridiplantae; Streptophyta; Magnoliopsida; Brassicales; Brassicaceae
Description: ATSL251720
Source: RNAcentral